ACGGAAGGCAGCAGUGGGGAAUAUUGGACAAUGGGCGCAAGCCUGAUCCAGCCAUGCCGCGUGAGUGAUGAAGGCCUUAGGGUUGUAAAGCUCUUUUAUCCGGGACGAUAAUGACGGUACCGGAGGAAUAAGCCCCGGCUAACUUCGUGCCAGCAGCCGCGGUAAUACGAAGGGGGCUAGCGUUGCUCGGAAUCACUGGGCGUAAAGGGCGCGUAGGCGGCGUUUUAAGUCGGGGGUGAAAGCCUGUGGCUCAACCACAGAAUGGCCUUCGAUACUGGGACGCUUGAGUAUGGUAGAGGUUGGUGGAACUGCGAGUGUAGAGGUGAAAUUCGUAGAUAUUCGCAAGAACACCGGUGGCGAAGGCGGCCAACUGGACCAUUACUGACGCUGAGGCGCGAAAGCGUGGGGAGCAAACAGGAUUAGAUACCCUGGUA
Molecule: ribosomal RNA, 434 nt
Filed under: uncultured Methylobacterium sp.
Lineage: Bacteria; Pseudomonadati; Pseudomonadota; Alphaproteobacteria; Hyphomicrobiales; Methylobacteriaceae
Description: partial 16S ribosomal RNA
Rfam family: Bacterial small subunit ribosomal RNA
Source: RNAcentral